GAUGAACGCUAGCGGGAGGCUUAACACAUGCAAGUCGAGGGGCGGCAUAGGGUAGCAAUACUCUGAUGGCGACCGGCAAACGGGUGAGUAACGCGUAUGCAACCUACCCUGUACAGGGGGAUAACCCGGAGAAAUUCGGACUAAUAUCCCGUAAUAAUAUCCGGAGGCAUCUUUGGAUAUUUAAAGUUUCGACGGUACGGGAUGGGCAUGCGUAACAUUAGCUGGUUGGUAAGGUAACGGCUUACCAAGGCUAUGAUGUUUAGGGGUCCUGAGAGGGUGGUCCCCCACACUGGUACUGAGACACGGACCAGACUCCUACGGGAGGCAGCAGUGAGGAAUAUUGGUCAAUGGGCGCAAGCCUGAACCAGCCAUCCCGCGUGCAGGAAGACGGCCCUAUGGGUUGUAAACUGCUUUUCCAGGGAGAGAAACUUACGCACGUGUUGCGUGACUGACGGUACCCUGGGAAUAAGCAUCGGCUAACUCCGUG
This 487-nucleotide ribosomal RNA is filed under the name uncultured bacterium. Its description in RNAcentral is "bacterial SSU rRNA". It matches the Rfam family "Bacterial small subunit ribosomal RNA", at positions 28 to 507 of the family's 1533-position model. The record is from RNAcentral.